Molecule: unclassified non-coding RNA, 341 nt
Filed under: soil metagenome
Description: partial contains 5.8S ribosomal RNA, internal transcribed spacer 2, and large subunit ribosomal RNA
Rfam family: 5.8S ribosomal RNA (bases 1-120)
Source: RNAcentral
GAUGAAGAACGUAGCGAAAUGCGAUAAGUAGUGUGAAUUGCAGAAUUCAGUGAAUCAUCGAAUCUGUGAACGCACAUUGCGCCCUUUGGUAUUCCAAAGGGCAUGCCUGUUCGAGCGUCAUUUGUACCCUCAAGCUUUGCUUGGUGUUGGGCGUCUUGUCUCUAGCUUUGCUGGAGACUCGCCUUAAAGUAAUUGGCAGCCGGCCUACUGGUUUCGGAGCGCAGCACAAGUCGCACUCUCUAUCAGCAAAGGUCUAGCAUCCAUUAAGCCUUUUUUUCAACUUUUGACCUCGGAUCAGGUAGGGAUACCCGCUGAACUUAAGCAUAUCAAUAAGCGGAGGA